AAUUAAUUUAGCAUCGGCCUGUAAGUGUGUUUUUUCUGUUCGAUCCUUAACUUAAAUUUAAAUUAAAAGAAAUUAAUAAAAAAAAAAGUUUUCAUUUGUUCUGAAAAAUCACAAAUUCACAUCUAAUCUAAUUCAAAUUUUCAACCAGGCCGAACUUUAUAUUUAUAAUAGUUGUAACACAGGGCUCCCAAAAAUAUACGACACAACUUACAAACAAUCAGUGAAGAAAACCAAGACCUGCUUGGACAAUUAUUAAUCCAAAAAAUCCAAACAAACAAAUCAACAACAAACAAAAAAAGCAAACUAAAAUCUCACUAAUACGGGACAAGAAGCAAACAAAAGAAAAAAAAGAAAAAAACUGUUUUGUAGGAACCUCUUUUUUCAAGUUUAUUAGUUAAUUGGCAAAAAGAGGACUCCUCGACACCGACAAAAUUUAAUUUUCUUUCUAUUUUUCAAAUAAUUAAAAAAAAGUUAAAAA
This is a long non-coding RNA of Eupeodes corollae, 478 nucleotides long. RefSeq lists it as uncharacterized. The transcript has 2 exons. NCBI's taxonomy places the organism in Eukaryota, Metazoa, Arthropoda, Insecta, Diptera, Syrphidae. The record is from RefSeq and is a predicted model, not a curated record.